AGCCGCCGCGGUAAUACGUAGGGUGCGAGCGUUGUCCGGAAUUAUUGGGCGUAAAGGGCUCGUAGGCGGUUUGUUCGCGUCGGGAGUGAAAACACCGGGCUUAACUCGGUGCUUGCUUUCGAUACGGGCAGACUAGAGGUAUGCAGGGGAGAACGGAAUUCCUGGUGUAGCGGUGAAAUGCGCAGAUAUCAGGAGGAACACCGGUGGCGAAGGCGGUUCUCUGGGCAUUACCUGACGCUGAGGAGCGAAAGUGUGGGGAGCGAACAGGAUUAGAUACCCUGGUAGUCCACACCGUAAACGUUGGGCGCUAGGUGUGGGGCCUAUUCCAUGGGUUCCGUGCCGCAGCUAACGCAUUAAGCGCCCCGCCUGGGGAGUACGGCCGCAAGGCUAAAACUUAAAUGAAUUGACGG
This 410-nucleotide ribosomal RNA is filed under the name actinobacterium enrichment culture clone LiUU-15-370. RNAcentral describes it as "bacterial SSU rRNA". It matches the Rfam family "Bacterial small subunit ribosomal RNA", at positions 510 to 916 of the family's 1533-position model. The record is from RNAcentral. Lineage: Bacteria; Bacillati; Actinomycetota; Actinomycetes.